Molecule: non-coding RNA, 276 nt
Organism: Schizosaccharomyces pombe (fission yeast)
Lineage: Eukaryota; Fungi; Ascomycota; Schizosaccharomycetes; Schizosaccharomycetales; Schizosaccharomycetaceae
Source: the annotation of a GenBank genome assembly
GAUUGAAUUUUGGAAAUGAAGUGUAGCGAGUAGUUGUUUGCGAACCGGAAAUGUCAACGUGCCUCCAAACUUGGGCGAGCUCAUUUCGAAUUUGAAGAUAUGGCACAUGGUCUCGUUUAGCAGAAUAAAACUGAAUGAGAUAGCUUCGUAAUUUUGGGUGAAGAGAAAUUAGACCAAUCCAAAUAGCAAUUGGUAAAUAACGGUCAAUUGAAAUGCGCAGGUAUGCCAACAGGAAUAUGAGAACUAAAGAAACUAGCAGUCCAGAUGAAAUAGCAG